This 253-nucleotide ribosomal RNA is filed under the name uncultured bacterium. RNAcentral's name for it is "partial 16S ribosomal RNA". It matches the Rfam family "Bacterial small subunit ribosomal RNA", at positions 524 to 776 of the family's 1533-position model. The record is from RNAcentral.
UACGUAGGGGGCUAGCGUUGCUCGGAAUCACUGGGCGUAAAGCGCGCGUAGGCGGCUUUGCAAGUCGGGUGUGAAAUCCCCAGGCUUAACCUGGGAACUGCAUUCGAGACUGCAUUGCUAGAGUAUGGGAGAGGGAAGUGGAAUUUCCGGUGUAGCGGUGAAAUGCGUAGAUAUCGGAAGGAACAUCAGUGGCGAAAGCGACUUCCUGGACCAAUACUGACGCUCAUGUGCGAAAGCGUGGGGAGCAAACAGG